This 1144-nucleotide long non-coding RNA is filed under the name Homo sapiens (human). Its description in RNAcentral is "HSALNT0346009". Lineage: Eukaryota; Metazoa; Chordata; Mammalia; Primates; Hominidae. The record is from RNAcentral.
AAAAUGCACAAAGCAAGGAAAGAAUGAAGCAAAAAAAGCAUGCAUUUACUGAAAAUAAAGUACCCUUCACAGGCUCCAGGACUCAAGAACCAAUUAGAGGCUUAAGUGAAACAACCAAUCAGAGGAUGAAUAAAAAUUUAAAUAGCCCUUCCACCCUUCCACCACUUCCACCACUUCCACCACUUUGUGAAGUCACAACAGGUACACCCUAUGCAAGCAUCUGAUUGGUUGUGGAAAGCAACCAAUCAGAGGCUAAAGUGAAGUUACAAAGUUACAUUUCUAUGCAGGCGACUUGGCCUGCGAUCCGUCUGAUUGGUUACAAAGUUACAUUCCUACGCAGAAGCAACCAGAGAUACUUUCAAUUUUCCAUGUGCCACGCAGAAAGAACUUGAAGAUCCAGGAAGCCUCUGCCUCCAUCCAGGAGCCGCUUCAUCCUCUACUCGGUGUAACUAUCUCUGAGAUUCCACAUCCUUUGAGAUUAAAAACACUUUACAUCUUCUGGGUCUGUUGACGGGUCCUUCCACCAAUCACAUCGCUGUGCUUCUGUGACAACUGAACACAACUGGAAGUGAAAAACAACUCCUCAUUCAAAGGGGUUUAACGUUCCUUGUAGAUUCUGGAUAUUGGGCCUUUGUCAGAUGCAUAGAUUGCAAAAAUUUUCUCCCACUCUGCCAAAAGAGGAGUACAUCUGAACAGCAAUAGAGCAGAGGAAGAAACCCUAAGUCAUGUUGUAGCCUAAUACCAUGGAGUAGCACAGACUUUGAAACCAGGCAGAACCAGAACUUGAACAGAUCUCUUCAGAACCGGGAAAACAUCUCCUUUUGUUGACAUCACAUGAAGGUUGAAGUCCGCUGUCAGGACCAUGUUUAAGGAUCUCAAUUGCCAUGUGGAUAAGCCUUACGGAAUGGAAAUGGAGUAAAAACUCCACUCGGGUAUCACCUGAAGCCCCUGCCUCCAAGAUCCAAAGUCAGUCUUUACAGUAAUAAAGCGAGAAAUAGUAAUAAAGCGAGAUCUUCAAGAAUUCUUAAAAGGAGUUUUGAGGAAUCAAGGAAACUACAAGGAGAAGCAACACUGUAAAUAAAUAUAUGGAAGUUGAAAAUGGAUCUUCAACAAGUGAUAAACAAUCCAGAAACACGGUACUAAA